This 3690-nucleotide long non-coding RNA is filed under the name Cricetulus griseus (Chinese hamster). RNAcentral describes it as "lncRNA (ENSCGRG00000025444.1)". Lineage: Eukaryota; Metazoa; Chordata; Mammalia; Rodentia; Cricetidae. The record is from RNAcentral.
UAUCUCUCUAGCCCACCAGUUAUUACAUUCUUUUAAUCUUUUGCUUAGCAGAUAAACCCACACACUGAGUUUGUCUGUCCUUCGAUAUUGCCUUAUUAGAGAAUUGAAUAUUAUUAUUAUUAUUAUUAUUAUUAUUAUUAUUAUUAUUAUUAUUAGUUUUGUUUUGUUUUUCGAGACAAGGUUUCUCUGUAUUGAUUUAAGGCUGUCCUGGAACUCACUCUAUAGACCAGGCUGGCCUCGAACUCAGCAAAGAUCUGCCUGCCUCUGCCUCCUGAGUGCUGGGAUUAAAGGCAUACGCCACCAGUGCCCAGCAAGAAUUGAACAUUAUUUUGCGUGUUCUUGGAUAUGAGUAAUCUUAUGGCUUCUCUGUUCAGGACCUUUGCUUGCUAUUUUAACCCAGGCGUCAUUGAUAAUAUUGGUCCUUUGAUGUUUGAGAUAAAGCACCAGAACAAACAGUAAGGUUGGCAACACUUGGUAUUUGCUGAGUAGUUCAUGGGUGGGUCUAAGUAUCUGUGGCCUGGCCACUGGAGCAUGUCACAGACCUGUGCCGAAUGUCACAUUGGGUUCACUUAAUUUUUAUGCUUCUUUGCUUCUCUUCCUGUUCAGGCUACGAUGCCAAGUACAAAGAGAGGCUUCGUGUGGCCCAGCUCUACAGACAAUACUGUCGGGACAGCCCAUCAAUCAAGAUCGCCAUCUCCUCCCAGUGAGGACGAAAACACCAACAGCUACUUUGGGAUGACUUCCAGCGAGCAGAGACCUUGCUUGGCUCCUAGUCCUGCAGAGGAACUUCUGAGUUGUUGUGCAGCCAUAUCCUCCUAAUGGAAACAUUCCUUCUUAGAGGGAUGUCCUUUAAGACUCUGGAAGUAAAUGAUAUCCAUAAGCCCAGGGAGCUCUGAAAACAUGCAAGACCAUAAGGUGUCUGCUAAGGUUAUACUCACAGUAACAACUGACCCAGCUCAGUCAAGCAAGCUAUUCGGGGAGUUCUGGGAAUGCAGCUCUCCCAGGGUGUCUACCCAUCCUGGUGUGGGCUUCUCAAUGAUGCAGCUGCCAUUAGUCACCCACAUUCUGUAGCUAAUUCCUCAUCCAGAGUCCUGCUAACUCACUAGUUCAGUAAGUUAGAUCUCUCUGGAAUUGUUUCUUUGGUCGGUUGUUAGGGCUUUAUCUGGGCUGAAUAGAUGUUUGUCCACAUCACCCCAGGGAAAGUCACACAACAUAAGUGCAAGCUCAAAUACAAAUGUUAUCUAUAAUCCAGCCCACUAGUUAAAGCUACCUUCAAAUUUACACAACCCAAAAGUCAGUUUUUACUUAUCUUCAUGGCAUUUAGGAGAAGAGAGCCACACAUGAAUACACAGCAGCCGUUUAAGAAAUAGGAACUGAGGCCAGGCGUUGGUGGCACACACCUUUAAUCCCAGCACUUGGGAGGCAGAGGCAGUCGGAUCUCUAUGAGUUUGAGGCCAGCCUGGUCUACAGAGCGAGUGCCAGGAUAGGCUCCAAAACAAUACAGAGAAAUCCUGUCUCAAAAAACCAAACCAAAACAAAACAAACAACAACAAAAAACAAACAAGAAAGAAAGAGCGAGAGAGAGAGAGAGAGGAAGGAAGGAAGGAAGGAAGGAAGAAAAGAAGUAGGAACUGAACCUAAUCAUUCAACACCUAACAGCUUGUGGCCAUCUCAGCCUUUGUGUGUAUAGUAAACUGCUCUCAGUGGAGCAUAACAUAACAACAGUGAAAGCAAAAGGUGAUUCUUCUAGUUGCCUGACUAAACAGCUCUGGGGGCAGAAGGCAACUUUGAUCCAGUCAGAAUCAAAUAUAAGUCAGAAAAUACUAGAAAAAAAGUUCAUUAUGUUGGCAGCAAGCAUAGUCCCCUCAAUUGGUCAGGCUUUUUCCUCCCUAGCACGGGAUUUCCUGAAAUAUUAGCCGUCUAUCAACUCAUGCAAAGAAGUGGACUGUAGGACAGAUAGGACAGUUGAAGGACACAAUCCAAGUGCCCAGGGACCCUGUCAGAUCCCUUAGCCUGCAUCAGUCUCAUCCAAGGAGCUUUAGCAACACCUAUUCUGCAUGCCUGGCACUGUAAACCUGACCAAAACCCCAUGGUAAGGCCAGAGGCCCCAGGGAGAGCUAUUGCUGCUGUUUUGCUAAAUGGACUUGUUAGAAACUGCCUUCUAAAUAUUUAUAGUUAUGCUCAUAGAUUAGUACUGUCCUCAACCUUGGCCAGAGAAAUCUCUUUCUGCAGUGGACAACAAUACAGAGUAACAAAGAUCUGAGAGUAAGUGAAUGUUGAGUGCAUAGCCAUAACUAGGACGUCUAUACCUCAUCCCCCAAAGGCUAACAGAAUGUUGCCAAAAAGGAGGAGGAAGUAAUAAGAGUAUGGGAAAGUGUGCUGUGAAUGCUAAGCUGUAGACGCAGUGUGUCUGUUGUACUGCUGAGUGCACCAUAGCUAUGGGUAUCGGCAUAAGACCUGCACAAGAUCAAACCAACAAGUUCAGCCAACACUCCAGAUGGCAGCACUAAUUAGACUCAGUAGGUUUCGGGGGGAGCAUGAGGGAUGAGGCUGUGUUGGUAUGUGUCCAGGAGAAGGUGGUGCAGGACUGGACAGGAUCAAGAUAUAUUAUUUACAUGGAUGAAAUUGUCAAAGAAUAAAUGAUGUUGUCAAUAGCCUUACAUUCUGCACAUAGGGACAUCCUGAGCCUUGUCACGGUAAGGAGAGAAGGAAAUGAUGUGUUACAGGCUUUCCAGCCCAGGAGCUGGUAUGCACUUUUCUUGAAAUAUAUGGGAUUCUUAUAUUUCCGUAUUUUUCUAUUCACACUCCUUUGUCUUUGUCCUCUCUGGUGAUCUACUAAGCAAAACCUCCUAUUCCUUAUAAACAUGGUUUGAUGAUUGUAUAGUAUCUUUGCAUGUAGUUGCUCCUAAAAAAAGGCUAGCAAAUGAAGCAUGCUGAGUCCUUGAAGCUUCCAGUAGCCUCCUUGAACCCCCAGCCCCUCUUAUAAGGAUUUGUAUACCAAGACUCUGUGGUUUCUUCAUGAACUGAGCUUCACAUCCAUGGCAAGUGGAACCCUAGAACCUCAGAUAUUAAAAAAAAAGAGGAAAGGAAGAAGAAAAGAAAAAGAAGGAAGGAAGGAAAGAAAGAAGGAGGGAAAGAAGGAGGUUAAUAUUGUGAUGGGGCCUGGCAUUGGUAUUUUUGAGAGUUUUUAAAAUCAUCAUAGUUCCAGCCACAGCUAAGAAUCACCAUAGCCUAAGACAUAUCGUUAUAGAUGCCAAACAUACCCAGCAGAUGUGUCACUGCCUUGGUAUGCAGGUAGACACACAGAGCUGAGUGACCAAGGAGAAGUCAGGUCCCAUUAGACAGGCAAAUCUGUGUCCACCACAACAGCAUUGUGUCACUUCAGCUGACCCUGAUGAUUCACAAUCUGUGCUUAGACACUAAGCACCAAGCUGCAGCUAGGAGGGACUUCAGAAUGAGUGUUUGGCCUCACUCAGAGCAGCUGAUCAGGGAUGUAAGUGACUGGAAUGACAGCUAUGACCUUCACCCAUAAUCUGAACCAAGGCAAACCAGCCAUUUGGAGGAUACAGAGUCAAAGCCAUCCUGGGAGGAGGGGGUUUGUGAGCAGCUUGUUCCUGGAGGUUUUCCAAUUUCAAGUCCUUCAAUUUUCAGUUUCAAAUCCAGAGCCUCCAGUACCUAAGGUGCUCUGAG